UAGGGAAUCUUCCACAAUGGACGCAAGUCUGAUGGAGCAACGCCGCGUGAGUGAAGAAGGUUUUCGGAUCGUAAAGCUCUGUUGUUGGCGAGGAAGGAUAGAGGCAGUAACUGGUCUUUAUUUGACGGUAAUCAACCAGAAAGUCACGGCUAACUACGUGCCAGCAGCCGCGGUAAUACGUAGGUGGCAAGCGUUGUCCGGAUUUAUUGGGCGUAAAGCGAGCGCAGGCGGAAUGAUAAGUCUGAUGUGAAAGCCCACGGCUCAACCGUGGAACUGCAUCGGAAACUGUCAUUCUUGAGUGCAGAAGAGGAGAGUGGAACUCCAUGUGUAGCGGUGGAAUGCGUAGAUAUAUGGAAGAACACCAGUGGCGAAGGCGGCUCUCUGGUCUGCAACUGACGCUGAGGCUCGAAAGCAUGGGUAGCGAACAGGAUUAGAUACCCUGGUAGUCCAUGCCGUAAACGAUGAGCGCUAGGUGUUGGGGACUUUCCGGUUCUCAGUGCCGCAGCAAACGCAUUAAGCGCUCCGCCUGGGGAGUACGACCGCAAGGUUGAAAC
RNAcentral lists this ribosomal RNA (554 nucleotides) under uncultured bacterium. Its description in RNAcentral is "partial 16S ribosomal RNA". It matches the Rfam family "Bacterial small subunit ribosomal RNA", at positions 355 to 900 of the family's 1533-position model. The record is from RNAcentral.